AUAACGGUCCUAAGGUAGCGAAAUUCCUUGUCAGGUAAGUUCUGACCCGCACGAAAGGCGUAACGAUUUGGGCGCUGUCUCGGCAGCAGACUCGGUGAAAUCUUAGUACCUGUGAAAAUGCAGGUUACCCGCAACUAGACGGAAAGACCCCAUGGAGCUUUACUGCAGCCUGAUAUUGAGUUUCGAUCAGAGAUGUACAGGAUAGGUGGGAGACAAAGAGACAUGCACGCCAGUGUAUGAGGAGUCGCUGUUGGGAUACCACUCUUGUCUGAUUGGAAUUCUAACCUGCAUCCCUAAGCGGGAUGAGGGACCGUGUCAGGUGGGCAGUUUGACUGGGGCGGUCGCCUCCCAAAGAGUAACGGAGGCGCCCAAAGAUACCCUCAGCUUGGAUGGAAAUCAAGCGCAGAGUGCAAAGGCAUAAGGGUGUUUGACUGCGAGACCUACAAGUCGAGCAGGGACGAAAGUCGGGCUUAGUGAUCCGGCGGUGCUGAAUGGAAAGGCCGUCGCUCAACGGAUAAAAGCUACCCUGGGGAUAACAGGCUGAUCUCCCCCAAGAGUUCACAUCGACGGGGAGGUUUGGCACCUCGAUGUCGGCUCAUCGCAUCCUGGGGCUGUAUUCGGUCCCAAGGGUUUGGCUGUUCGCCAAUUAAAGCGGUACGCGAGCUGGGUUCAGAACGUCGUGAGACAGUUCGGUCCCUAUCUGUUGUGGGCGAAGGAGAUUUGAGGAGAGCUGUCCUUAGUACGAGAGGACCGGGAUGGACCUACCGCUGGUGCACCGGUUGUUCCGCCAGGAGCAUAGCCGGGUAGCUAAGUAGGGAAGGGAUAAGCGCUGAAAGCAUCUAAGCGCGAAGCCUACUCCAAGAUGAGAUCUCCCAUUCGCAAGAAGUAAGACCCCUUGAAGACGACGAGGUAGAUAGGUCAGGGAUGGAAGCAUAGCGAUAUGUGAAGUUGACUGAUACUAAUAGGUCGAGGACUUAAUCAC
RNAcentral lists this ribosomal RNA (982 nucleotides) under human gut metagenome. RNAcentral describes it as "bacterial LSU rRNA". It matches the Rfam family "Bacterial large subunit ribosomal RNA", at positions 1942 to 2925 of the family's 2925-position model. The record is from RNAcentral.